UACAGAGGGUGCGAGCGUUAAUCGGAAUUACUGGGCGUAAAGGGCGCGUAGGUGGUUAGAUAAGUUGGAUGUGAAAUCCCUGGGCUUAACCUAGGAACUGCAUACAAUACUGUUUAACUGGAGUGCAGUAGAGGGUAGUGGAAUUUCCGGUGUAGCGGUGAAAUGCGUAGAUAUCGGAAGGAACACCAGUGGCGAAGGCGGCUACCUGGACUGACACUGACGCUGAGGCGCGAGAGCGUGGGGGAGCAAACAGGG
Molecule: ribosomal RNA, 255 nt
Filed under: uncultured bacterium
Lineage: Bacteria
Description: partial 16S ribosomal RNA
Rfam family: Bacterial small subunit ribosomal RNA
Source: RNAcentral